UUCAGAACUGUUCUUCAUUGCUGCUAGACAUUUAGAGCAGUGGCGGCAGCAGCAGCUACAGCACACGAAUAUGUGCAAGGAAGUGAAGAAACCAGGUGCCUCCAAAUGGAUUAAGUACAUGACAGAACAUGAAGAUGUUGAUAAUAUUGACAAAGGGUUGAGACCUGCUUUUGCUGAUGAUUUCAGAUUGAUGCGUGGUUAUAAACUUGAAAAGGAAGGUAUUGAUCAACCUGUUGAGGAAGAUAUCCACCCAGAUUUCUUGUAGUUCCUAAGUGCAAAAUCGAUAUAUCGGUGAAAAUUUCUUCCCAUUUUCAGAGAUUUUGAUAAAUUGCUAUACUCUGAUUCAUACUUUGGUUAUUAGUUUCAAUAAAGGGCCUUUGAAUUGCAUUUGAAAAUUGAAAGUCAAUUGAUUCUAAAUAUGAUAUCUCUAGUACUCUAAAAUCAGAUCAUCAAUUAUAUGAGAUACAGAUUAAAUCAGCAUUUUAGGACAAGUAAUUUGACUGUGCAUCAAACAGUAUUAUUUGACACUGCAUCAUGAAUAAGCUUUAUUAUUCCGUGUGCGAGAGCGAGCUACUCUGAUCACAAACUUCAGGAUUUAAGGUAGCUGAACGAAGAACUUUCAGGGCCUCGUCAACUUUCAUUUUGAGAGAAUCUGGAAACUCAAUCAGAUGUAGUACUUCUGUUUGAUCCAUCUCAAGCAGCAUGCUAGUGAUUUUUCUUGCAUUUUCAGGCGCAAUUUGCUCCAUCAAUCAGAUAUAGUUGUUUGAAGAGCAGCAAUGAAGAACAGUUCUGAAAUGAAGAAGGAAGGUUUGCUUAUUAAAGGGUCACGUGCGUCACACGUGAUAGUCAAAGGACUUUGAAAACUUAGGAGACAACGUAGAUUACUCCAGUAGAUUUGUUACGGAUAGGGAAUCUGUUUCCUUAGAUGAAUUACAUAGUUGGGCCGAUGCGAUAGCAAUAAUAAUUGAUUUUCAAUUUACACAUGCUUCUUGUAAACAAAAAGAAGGAUGUUCUAGAGUUAGUGUGUAUUUUUACAUAAUCUAGAUAAUGCUGCCCGACCUGGUUCUAAAAGUAGGAGUUGUGUGUGUAAAUUUUUGAUUGUAGCAAGUAGUCGUAAACCAGGAGAAAGACAUUGGACGGUAAGGAUGUGUACUUGUGAAAAAGAAAGACAUAACCACCCGUUGUUACUGUACAAAGAUGGUUAUGUAAGGGCAAAUAGGAUCAAUGUAGAUAUUCGGGAGCACAUACGACAGCUUAGUGCAACCGGCAUGCAACCGGCCUUUAUCAUGACUUCUAUUAGAGAAAAUUUUCCUGGUUUUUUUACUAGUAUGAAUCAGAUUUAUAAUGCUAGGCUAUCAAUAAGGAGGGAAGAGAUGGAGGGUAGGACUCCCCUUCAACACUGUCUUUAUAUGGCCACAGAACUUAAUUACGUGGUCUGGACAGACUUGGAUAAUGAAGGGGGAUUGAUCAGAUUAUUAGUUGCAAAUCCUACCUCUAUCCAAAUGAUACGUAAGUGGUCGUAUGUUGUGUUGAUAGAUACAACAUACAAAAGAAAUAAACAAAAGUGGCCACUGUGUGAAGUGAUCGGAAUGACGCUAACCAAUCACAACUUCUUGGUUGCGUUCUGUUUGAUGCGAGAUGAGGCGGCUGUGUCAUAUUCGUGGGUGUUGCAGGGAUUGAGAGAUAUUUUUGGCACAGCUCAGACUCCUAGCGUCAUUGUAACCGAUUGAGACAAAGGUUUAUUUGCAGCUAUUCGUAACGUCUUCCCAGAUAUGCGGCAUUUGUUAUGCAUUUGGCAUAUUGCAAACGACAUUGAGAACAUGGUGGACAAGUUGUGUGACGGGAAUAGAAAUCAACAAGGGCAGGUAUUCAGGAAAAUUAGACGGAACCUCUUGGUUGAAAGUUCUACAAUCGACGAAUUUGAACAGAGAUGGCAAUCGAUCGUGACUAACUAGUCGGUUAGGAACAAAAAGGUCGUUCGGUAUUUGGCUGGAACAUGUAUUCCACUUAGAGAGAAAUUUGUGCGUGCGUGGACGAAUGAAUGUUUACACAUGGGUAACCAGACUACCAGCAGAGUUGAAAGCCAACGCUCGUCUUUCAAGUAUUAUCUUGGUAGCGGUAAUAGCUCAUUUGAAAGCCAACACAAAACGUGCGACUGAACCGCGGUCGAGUCGUGGAUGUCGUGCGACUGAACUAGGGUUGGCUCGCAGAUUUCAUGCGACUGGGUUAUUUUAUUUUUAUUUUAUUUUCUUUUUUUUUAAAAAAAUUAUUAUUAAUACGAUUCGAAUAAAAAUUAGCUCGAUUAUUUAUUUGCGGAUUGAAUUUCUUAGUUUUUGCUCCAAAAAUUUGAUGUUGUAAUUUUGUUUUUUAAGUGUGA
Long non-coding RNA from Amaranthus tricolor (Joseph's coat), 2377 nucleotides. RefSeq lists it as uncharacterized. The record is from RefSeq and is a predicted model, not a curated record. NCBI's taxonomy places the organism in Eukaryota, Viridiplantae, Streptophyta, Magnoliopsida, Caryophyllales, Amaranthaceae. The transcript has 3 exons.